RNAcentral lists this ribosomal RNA (425 nucleotides) under uncultured bacterium. RNAcentral's name for it is "partial 16S ribosomal RNA". It matches the Rfam family "Bacterial small subunit ribosomal RNA", at positions 354 to 796 of the family's 1533-position model. The record is from RNAcentral.
GUGGGGAAUCUUGCGCAAUGGGCGAAAGCCUGACGCAGCCAUGCCGCGUGAAUGAUGAAGGUCUUAGGAUUGUAAAAUUCUUUCACCGGGGACGAUAAUGACGGUACCCGGAGAAGAAGCCCCGGCUAACUUCGUGCCAGCAGCCGCGGUAAUACGAAGGGGGCUAGCGUUGCUCGGAAUUACUGGGCGUAAAGGGCGCGUAGGCGGACAGUUUAGUCAGAGGUGAAAGCCCAGGGCUCAACCUUGGAAUUGCCUUGGAUACUGGCUGUCUUGAGUACGGGAGAGGUGAGUGGAACUCCGAGUGUAGAGGUGAAAUUCGUAGAUAUUCGGAAGAACACCAGUGGCGAAGGCGACUCACUGGCCCGUUACUGACGCUGAGGCGCGAAAGCGUGGGGAGCAAACAGGAUUAGAAACCCUUGUAGUCC